Long non-coding RNA from Psammomys obesus (fat sand rat), 591 nucleotides. RefSeq lists it as uncharacterized. The transcript is spliced from 4 exons. The record is from RefSeq and is a predicted model, not a curated record. NCBI's taxonomy places the organism in Eukaryota, Metazoa, Chordata, Mammalia, Rodentia, Muridae.
GGACGAGACAGUGGAGGCCACGAGUCAGACUGGGCCUAGCCCUGGGGAAGAAUGUGCAGAGGAAUGCUCAGGGCCUCAGAAUGACCCCUCCGUUCUCUAGACCACAGUUCCCUUCACUAUGGGGCCCAGAGAAAGUGGCCUGAGGCACACAGAGAGCAACCGGAGUAAUAGUCUCGUUGGCCUCCUGUGGCCAGAAACCCUUUCACAACAGAGACCAGCAAAUCCGCAGAAACUGAAACAAAAAUCAUCGGUAGCCACUUAAGCAAGACAGAAGAAAUCAGGCUAUAGGACAAUACGAGAGGAAAAUCCAUAGAAGUUUUAAGAAGGGGGAAAAAAUGCGCCCAGGUUGGUGAGAUGACUCAGCAGGAAACCAAGUUCACCGAAGGUUAGUGGCCCUGCAGAUAGAAACCCUACUGGGUUCAAGUCCCAGCUCCUCCUGUGGUUCGCCACCUGGCUGCCCACCAACCCCUUAGCCUCCCUGGACCACGUUUCUUCUCCUCUAGAAGAGGAAAAGGCAGACCCCUUCUGCUUCUGGACCGUCAACCAGAUGAUAUACAUGAAAGGAUCUGUAGAUUCUUAAUGAUGCCAUGC